UUUGGUUUAGGAUUUAGAAUUUGGAUUAAGGUUUGAUUUAGGAUUUAGAAUUUGGUUAGGAUUUGAUUUAGGGUUUAGGGUUUGGAUUAGGAUUUGGUUUAAGAUUUGUUUAAGGUUUGGAUUAGGAUUUGAUUUAAGAUUUGUUUAAGGUUUGAUUUAGGAUUUGAUUUAGGGUUUGGUUAGGGUUUGAUUUAGGGUCUGGUUAGGAUUUAGAUUAGGAUUUGGUUAGGAUUUGGUUUAAGGUUUGUUUAGGGUUUGAUUUAGGAUUUAGGAUUUUAUUAGGAUUUAAGAUUUAAUUAGAUUUGGCCUAAAUUUUGAAUGAAGUUUAAUAGGAUUUUAACUAGAAUUAAAUUAAGAUUGAAUUGAAAUGUAUUUGAGUGAUAUUUGUGAUCCUUCUAAUAUUUCUUUAAGAAUUCUUAUUAUUUUUUAGAAAUUUCUUGAGAUUUUUUUGAAUUUGAUUAAAGCUUACUUAACAUAAUUAUGAUCUAAUUAGAGUUUAAUU
This 502-nucleotide long non-coding RNA is filed under the name Physcomitrium patens. RNAcentral's name for it is "long non-coding RNA (PPAT_LNC000068)". Lineage: Eukaryota; Viridiplantae; Streptophyta; Bryopsida; Funariales; Funariaceae. The record is from RNAcentral.